GGCAAGGUGGCCGAGCGGUCUAAGGCGCCACGUUAAGGUGUUUAACCCUUAAUCGCGAUCCGUGGUCUCGAAAGGGGCGUGAGUUCGAAUCUCACCCUUGUCA
Non-coding RNA from Chaetomium fimeti, 103 nucleotides. Lineage: Eukaryota; Fungi; Ascomycota; Sordariomycetes; Sordariales; Chaetomiaceae. The record is from the annotation of a RefSeq genome assembly.